RNAcentral lists this ribosomal RNA (458 nucleotides) under uncultured Desulfobacteraceae bacterium. RNAcentral's name for it is "bacterial SSU rRNA". It matches the Rfam family "Bacterial small subunit ribosomal RNA", at positions 346 to 795 of the family's 1533-position model. The record is from RNAcentral. Lineage: Bacteria; Pseudomonadati; Thermodesulfobacteriota; Desulfobacteria; Desulfobacterales; Desulfobacteraceae.
UGGCUGCAGUGAGGAAUUUUGCGCAAUGGGGGAAACCCUGACGCAGCAACGCCGCGUGAGUGAUGAAGGCCUUCGGGUCGUAAAGCUCUGUCAAGUGGGAAGAACCCGCAUCUUGUUAAUACCAGGAUGCGCUGACGGUACCACUGAAGGAAGCACCGGCUAACUCCGUGCCAGCAGCCGCGGUAAUACGGGGGGUGCAAGCGUUACUCGGAAUCAUUGGGCGUAAAGGGCGCGUAGGCGGCUUGGUCAGUCAGGUGUGAAAGCCCGGGGCUUAACCCCGGAAGUGCAUUUGAUACUACCUAGCUUGAGUAUGGGAGAGGGAAGUGGAAUUCCUGGUGUAGAGGUGAAAUUCGUAGAUAUCAGGAGGAACACCUGUGGCGAAGGCGACUUCCUGGACCAAUACUGACGCUGAGGCGCGAAGGCGUGGGGAGCAAACAGGAUUAGAUACCCCAGUAGUC